GGAUAGCUCAGUUGGUAGAGCAACAGACUGAAAAUCUGUGUGUCGGUGGUUCGAUUCCGCCUCCG
This 65-nucleotide transfer RNA is filed under the name bovine gut metagenome. It matches the Rfam family "tRNA", at positions 5 to 66 of the family's 71-position model. Rfam says of the family: Transfer RNA (tRNA) molecules are approximately 80 nucleotides in length. Their secondary structure includes four short double-helical elements and three loops (D, anti-codon, and T loops). Further hydrogen bonds mediate the characteristic L-shaped molecular structure. tRNAs have two regions of fundamental functional importance: the anti-codon, which is responsible for specific mRNA codon recognition, and the 3' end, to which the tRNAs corresponding amino acid is attached (by aminoacyl-tRNA synthetases). tRNAs cope with the degeneracy of the genetic code in two manners: having more than one tRNA (with a specific anti-codon) for a particular amino acid; and 'wobble' base-pairing, i.e. permitting non-standard base-pairing at the 3rd anti-codon position. The record is from RNAcentral.